This 790-nucleotide long non-coding RNA is filed under the name Homo sapiens (human). RNAcentral's name for it is "non-protein coding lnc-COMMD6-2:8". The record is from RNAcentral. Lineage: Eukaryota; Metazoa; Chordata; Mammalia; Primates; Hominidae.
GUUCUCUCGAGUCCGGGCCGCAAGUCCCAGACGCUGCCCAUGGAGGCGUCCAGCGAGCCGCCGCUGGAUGCUAAGUCCGAUGUCACCAACCAGUAUUAAAAUGAAGAUACUUUAUGUAAAUAUGACCAGCGUUGAAACUAAAAGUUGAGUGUAACUGCAGUAAAAUUGAAUAAAUAUCUGCAUUCCAGGUAAUGUUACUACUAAUGUAUUAUUUUGUCCUGUCUUAUUAAAGCUUGUAGAUUUUCAGUGGAAACUGGGUAUGGCUGUGAGCUCAGACACUUGCAGAUCUCUUAAGUAUCCUUACGUUGCAGUGAUGCUAAAAGUGGCAGAUCAUUCAGGCCAAGUAAAGACCAAGUGCUUUGAAAUGACGAUUCCACAGUUUCAGGUUUGUGAUUUAACUCAUCCAGUUUUAGCUCAGCUUUUCUGUAAUCAUUGCAUAAAAAGAUGUAUAAAAUCUUUCUACGGGAAAACUUUAAUGGUUUUUAUUUGUAGAUUGAUAUGCUUUACGUUUACUAGUAGUAUAUGCAAGAGACAUUAAUUUGUCUUCUUUGGGAAUUUGAUAAAUUAUUUUCAAUAUAAUGUGCUGAAGUUGUGUACUGCGCCAUUUGAUCGCUUGAACAGUACUCCUCUCUGAGUAUAUUUAGGAAAGUUUUAUCUUCAAUGGCAGGAUAUUUACUUUGCAUUUAAAUGUUUUAUUCUUAUUCCUUUGGGCUUAAUAUUCAAGAAUGUUAAGCUAAAUGAAUCUUUGAAUAGUGUUGACCCUGAAUUUUCUGACUGAUAAUGUUUACAA